AUGGCUCGUGGCGAUCAUCAAAGUGAUGAUGACGAUUUCAUGGAUCCACCUCAACGUAACCAGGCAACUGGACGGAGAAAAGAGGGCGAUGAGAAGAAGAAACGUAUUUGCAACAGAGCCUCCCAGGAACGUCUGACCGUGUUGAUUGACAAAUUCACUGAUGAUCAAAAGGGAGCUGCUGCUGAGAUGGGUAUGCAGGUUCUGAUGGAUGUCCGGUGUACGAACCUUGUCAACCCGAUAUGCGACUGGCUUGGUGAGAUAUACGAUCCCGCCUCCAGGGAAUUCGUGAUCCCGGGACGGGGAAGACUUCCAUUGAAUGAGGAAUCCGUGUUCUGUACUUUGGGUGUGCCUCGGGGACAUAUCAAAGUCCCGUACGAGGCGAAUCUGAAAAACGUGAAGAGUAUGAACUGGUGUAAGUUUAUUGCCGACUUUCUCCACGAUGCUUUCAAAAACAAGAUGUACCAGAAGGGUUGUCGUCUGCACUUAAUGGCGAGGGCACCAGUGGAGCAUCUAAUUGGGCAGUUUGCAUCCGGAAUGACCGGCCUGCUCGGGAAGUUGGUUGAGGGGUGGACGUCCCUCAGUGCCUCUGACAGCGACGCGGUUGCGAGGCAGUUCACUUCAUUUGUCCCAGAACGUACACAUCAGCCAACCGGUUGCCGUGGCCGGUAUGACUACAACAGCUCCCAAGAGCCCGGUGACACACAGGAUGAUGUGGAUGGAGACGCUGGCCUCAGCAAGGACGACGACGAUGACACCGAUGACGAUGAACACGCUGAAGUUCGCACAUGCGGCAACAAGGGCAAGGAUGCAACAGGUGCCCACCCACCGGAGAAAGUGAAAGAACAUACGGCUGCGAGAGGCGAGGGGGUUUUGCCAUCAAGGAGGGGGAGGGCUCCAGAGGAUGUUGGGCAGGGUUCUGCUGGCAAGACGUCUAGGAUCGAUCCCGUAGCUGCCAGGAAGAGUGAGCCGACCGCUGGUGGACGAGCAGCUACGAAGAAACAGGCGCCAACGCCAACCCGUGUUUCUGCUCGCUUGAACAAAGGUUCCCCCAUUGCCGGUGACAUCCCUUCCACCAGGUCUUCUGCUCGUACGACAACGACCAACACCGGGGAUCCUGUCGUGUUGCUUGACCUGAGGAAGGCAGUCAAGAAGGUGAAGAAGACUACUACGCGCGGGGCCAAGCAUAUCAGUAGAGACCCACUCGAACGCCUGCAUUCAAAGUUGUCAACAGGUGGCAACUCAGAUGUACAUGAGGCGCCAGGCUACAAUACUGCUGCUGCACCGUCAACUGCUCCCACUAACUCUGAUGCAAGUGGCCGACCAUCUCCGCCGGCUGCAGAUGUGCAGGCUAGAACAACAGGCAUCCGUACAUCGGGGAGUGACGAGUCGGUAUUCGCCAGGACAGCUGAAAUAUUGCCAACUCUUUUGGCAAUGAAGGAUGCUGCUGUGAGCCAUGCCACCCCAUCAGCAAGCGUCGAAGUGGAUGCUCCCGAGACCAACCUAGGCAAGGAAGAUUCCCGCUCAUCUGACACUGAUUCCAAGCGCGUGCCUGGUGUCUCACCUGUGUCCAUGACAGAAGCGGCUGAGGCGGCACUUCACAAGGAUAUGCCAUCUGCAGAUGAGAAUCCUGGCACAACAGCUCCAGCUCCUGUCGGUGGAGAUACUGCUAAGGCGACCGUUCUGCGUGCUGGUCUUCCACCUAGGCGUCGUAGCCCCCGCAAGCAAUCAACAGACAUACCCAACGCUCCGGCUGUAGCUAGGAGCAGGAGAGACGAAUCUGGUUAUGUUCCUGCGUCCACACUGUUCCCGCCACCUACAAAAAUCAAUGUGAUGGAGAAACCGCAAGACCGGAGCACAACUGAUGCAGGUGUCAAGCCGGGCACGAGUGACGCAGAGGAACGCCCAGAGCAGACUGCGCCUUCACCCGCAGCGGAAAUCCCCAGCAUAAAUCUGCGCACUUCCAGGCUCCCAGUCAAUGUCGGUGUCCCCUACAGUCCAAACAAGAAGAUUGUCAUGAAAGCUGCGGCUGAGACCACUGACAACACGCCCCGCCCUGCAAAUAAGGCCGAUCAUUUUGUAGCGGCCGAUUCAGAUAUGUUUGUCGAUCUUUCACCCUUGGAUUCUGCCCCAAAAGUCGUUCGUGGUCCGUCCAGUAGGAAUGAGAGGCACCCAAUGGCCUUUACCCCACCGAGCUUCAGCCUCGGCGUCAGUCAAGAUCAACCGGUGGUGCAUGAUCCUAUACCAGUUGCCUUUGCUUUCCCAGGAGGCAUGCCCGCAAUGAUGGCGCAGCCAAUGGUCGAGGGCAGGAAGGCUGUCAAGUUCGCAGAGCCAAUUGUGCAAGCCACCCCUGAGGAGAUUUCACCAUCACUUGAUGAAGUUUACCGCAUGAUCGAGGAGACAUCAUUGCAGACGAGUUCCUCACGAGGGCAAGGGCAAUCAAGUUCCAAUGUGCCUGCAGAUACGGUAUCUGAGGAUACCAUUAGGAGUGUCACCCCUGGUCCUGUGAGGCAGCAGAGGGUAGUUCACCCACCCCCCGCGGAAGACUACGAGCCCGAAUUCAGGGCCACUAAGGAACAGACCCAGCUGUACGAUAUCGUCAAGCAUUUUGGAAAUGCGAGGACCAACAGCAAGCACAUGAAGGAGCUGAAAGCGUAA
Molecule: ribosomal RNA, 2655 nt
Filed under: Triticum aestivum (bread wheat)
Lineage: Eukaryota; Viridiplantae; Streptophyta; Magnoliopsida; Poales; Poaceae
Description: partial small subunit ribosomal RNA
Source: RNAcentral